Molecule: long non-coding RNA, 6110 nt
Organism: Dreissena polymorpha
Lineage: Eukaryota; Metazoa; Mollusca; Bivalvia; Myida; Dreissenidae
Exons: 2
Source: RefSeq, a predicted model, not a curated record
AUAAAACAAUCGAUAGCAAUAAGCGACCACUAUCUUGAAGACCACCAUGGUGUGAAUGCCUGAUGAAAUCAAUAAUUAGCCGAUAAAUCGCUGAUAAGGUGUCAUAAACAACACUGGUACACACGAUAAGUAGAAUCGAAUUGUUAAUUGGAGGGCAAUAAAGGGAUUAGAGGUGUUAAGUGUUAGCGAAACAGAGCUUGAAUAGCGAAUUUUAUUGGGAACCGAUACACCUUACAUCGUUUUUUAGGAAUGUCGGGACAAAUCGUCUCAUGGCGGGACGGCGGGACAAAGGGCCCAAAAGCGGGACUGUUCCGCCGAGAUCGGGACGUAUGGCAUGUAUGCAUUUUGAUUAUUUACAAUUACACAACAUAUUUUUUUACCAAUUUAGCAGCCAGGAUAGCGUUGUAUCAAUGUAUAGCGAGCACCAGCUUUUUAAUUUGAAUUUUGGAGGUAAAACACUGUGCGCUAUACAUGAAAAACCUACGGUAAUUAGGUUACAAGAAAACUGUUGAUCUAACAAAAGUCUGGGCUUCACCAUGGUGAUGUUAGGUCAUUAGGCAUAUUUGAAUAAAUUUUAAUGAAGCAUAUAUUGUUAGCAUAAACAUGUGUGCUAACUAAUUAUCCCCCGCCAUAGGCGGAGGGAUAUUGUUUUGGCGUUGUCCGUCCGUCCUUCCAUCCGUCUUUCCGUCAGUCUGUCCGGAGCCAUAUCUUGGAAGUGCUCUGGCGGAUUUCAUUGAAACUUGGUAUGAGUGUAUAUAUGGAUAAGAGAAUGAUGCACGCCAAAUGGCAUUGUACACCAUCUGUUAAUAAAGGAGUUAUGGCCCUUUGUAUCUUGAAAAAAUGCUUUUUGUUUGUGUCCUGAGCCAUAUCUUGGAAGUGCUUUGGUGUAUUUCAUUGAAACUUGGUAUGGGUAUGUAUAUCAAUAAGAGGAAGAUGCAAGCCAAAUGGCAUUGUACACCAUCCGUUAAUAACAGAGUUAUUGCCCUUUGUAUCUUGAAAAAAUGCUUUUUUGAGUGUCAAAUAUAACACUUUUGUGUCCAGAAGCAUAUUGGCUGGGGAUAUCAACUCAACGAAUUUGCUUGUUUCAGUAGUUUCAGUAACUUUAUUCAUUACUUUGGCAUUUCCUGUACAUCUUGAUUUUCAGGAACAUGGCAAUAAUACAGUUUGAAUGUAAAUAAUAAAAUUUCCAACAAUUAAAAUAAGUAAUUUUAUUGAUGUAUAAUUUAUAAAUUAUGUAAAAUCAAGUUAUAACGUAAAUAAUAUAAUGUUGUGAUAAUUAAAUGCAUGUAAUGUUUACAGAUUUCUUAAGUGUUUGUUUAUUUCAAUGAAUGUUUCGCGUGUUCAUUGUCUUUUUUGUUUAACUACAAGAGGUAUUGUCACAAAUGUUAAGUUUAUAUUUUGUCACCAUCAAUGGCAAGCUCAACAUAUCACCAAUGUUGACAUUACAUGUGCUUUUACAAUGGCAUUAUCUAUGGUGUUACAUGAAAUGUCUGUGUUGUUUGUUCCUCAAUGUGUGAAUAUUACAUGUUGAAGAUUGAUUGGAAUUUCGGAAUUUCAUUUGAUAACAGUCCCUUUAACUUACAGGAGUCUAAUAACCGAUUUAGGCAUGUGUGAUUUGCAUACUAAUUUUUGCUAACCUGAGCACAAAUUACUUAAUUUGAGCUAUUAUUAUCGCCCUAUGUCCGGCGUUGUUCGCGUUAUCAAGUUUUAACUUGUUAUUGCACAAGGGGCCACAUUUUUUAUCCAGUCUUGAUAAAACUUCCUCAGACUGUUUAUCUUAAAAAUAUCAAGGACGAGGUCAAAUCUUGGUCAGGUGUGACAAUUAACAAGGUCACCAUGUCAUAUUUCAUAUACAAAAAACCUGUAAUAACUUCAUAGAGACUGCAUUUAUGAUUCAAUCUGGAUGAAACAUGGUCAAAAUGUUUAUCUAUACAAUAUCAAGUUCAAAUCUGGACGACAUGCAUUCUAAACUUAGGUCAUGUGGUCAAAUAUUAGAAAAACACUGUUGUCCCUUUAAAAGCUAGAUGUAUGACUCAUUCUUAUUGAAACUUGGUCAGAAUGUCUAUCUUGACCAUUUUUUGACCUGGUAUAAAUCUUGGCCACAUGCAUCAAGAAACUAAGUGACCAGGUCGAAUAUUGACAAAUUUGUCAUCCUCAAACUAAACACCAGGUCAAGUAUUCACCAUUGGUCAUCCUCAAACUAAGUGACCAGGUCAUGUAUUGACAAUUGGUCAUCCUCAAACUAAGUGACCAGGUCAAGUAUUGACCUUUAGUCAUCCACAAACUAAAUGACCAGGUCAGGUGUUGACCAUUGGUCAUCCACAAACUAAGUGACCAGGUCAAGUAUUGACGAUUGGUCAUCCACAAACUAAGUGACCAGGUCAAGUAUUGACAAUUGGUCAUCCUCAAACUAAGUGACCAGAUAAAGUAUUGACAAUUAGUCAUCCUUAAACCAAGUGACCAGGUCAAGUAUUGACAAUUGGUCAUCCUCAAACUAAGUGACCAUGUCAAGUAUUGACGAUUGGUCAUCCUCAAACUAAAUGACCAGGUCAAGUAUUGACCUUUGGUCAUCUACAAGCUAAGUGACCAGAUCAAGUAUUGAUAUUUGGUCAUCCUCAAACUAAGUGACCAGGUCAAGUAUUGACCAUUGGUCAUCCACAAACUAAGUGACCAGGUCAAGUAUUGACCAUUGGGCAUCCUAUAACUAAGUGACCAGGUAAAGUAUUGACAAUUGGUCAUCCUCAAACUAAGUGACCAGGUCGAGUAUUGACAAUUGGUCAUCCUCAAACUAAGUGACCAGGUCGAGUAUUGACAAUUGGUCAUCCUCAAACUAAGUGACCAGGUCGAGUAUUGACAAUUGGUCAUCCUCAAACUAAGUGACCAGGUCGAGUAUUGACAAUUGGUCAUCCUCAAACUAAGUUACCAGGUCAAGUAUUGACAAUUGGUCAUGCUCAAACUAAGUGACCAGGUCAAUAUCCUCAAACUCAGGUGAGCGUUUCAGGGCUAUGAUGGCCCUCUUGUUUUAUUUUUACUAAGUUAUUUAUAUUUACUUUGAAUUAUAGUUUAUUUUGUUAUUCAUGUUUGAUACUACCCAAAAAUUAUUUGUUUAUUCUUGGUUACAUUUUCCUCCAUGGUACUGUUUGAAUGAUUAAAUAUGUUAGAUAAUAUUCCUGCAAAAAGUGGUGUGAAUUAUUUUAUUUCAUGAUUUCCGUUGUUUAAUGUGGAAUAUCAGUGAUUUAAAACUAGGCAUUCAUUGAUUCAAAAUGGAAACAUUAACAUGAAAAUCCCAUAAUUGUCUAACCAAAACAAAUAAAUGGUAUAUUUGUUUAUAUAUUUUUUCUUAUAUUUUCUUAUAUUUGCUUUCAGAUUCUAAACUCGCAAAUUUAAUGUUGCCAUUUUUCUGUCAGUUUUUUAUGUGGCUUUACCAUUUGGAAACAAGAAUACAAUUAUUAAAUGAAAAAAAGAAUAACAAAAAGAACUUCAGGUUCCCUUGCAAGAAAAUUAUAAUCAGUGAGGUUAUUAAAAAUUAUAAUCAGGUUAUUUAAUCUUAUAAUCAGUAGGGUUUUUAAGUGAAAGACAACUACUCACCUGUAUUCAACGUAAAUGAUGUCAAAUCAUAUUUAAAAGUUGAAAAAAAUGCAAUUUAACUCAUUAUUUCGGCACUUAAGGGAAGUAACUGCUACUCUUAUUUAUUGUGUCCCUUUAUUAGAUUUAUUACGUCCCUUAAAUUCAUAAAUGUAUACCGUUUUAAGAGUUCCGCUUUCUAUUCUGCUCUUUGGCAUAUUUUUUAUUUAAGAAUAACUAUUUAUCCCUUGUAUGGUAUUAUUUUUUACAAGAAUCUUCAGAAAAUUAUCUUAUAAAAAAAACUGUAUAAAUCAAACAUGAUGCACUAUUUAGUCGGUUCAAUCCCCGUUUAAGCCAAUGGCUUAACCGGUUAGCAUGAAAUCUUUGAAAGCGGAUUUGGAAUCCGUUUAUUGACUGCAUAAUUUGAGCAUCGGGUUCAAGAAACUGUAUCAAAUGCAUAUGCAUGAGUGACGUACCAGAUUUGCCCUUGCUUUCCGCACAUUUUAAGCAUAGACGACACUUUUCGGCUAGAGAUUUUGUUUUAAAAAAGAUAUUCUUUUAAAGAAAAAUUACAUCCAAUCAAAAAUUGUCAUCCUGAUUUGACUUCGGGGACUGCACAGGCUAAAUUGGGACGACACUUUCCGUACACGCAUUAAGUCCAGUUUCCAAGAACAGGGUUUAAAAUAAGGUUGUAAUAGUAAUAUGUUAUGUUAUUUACUUGUUAUAUAUUGUCGUAGUCCGUAUGUUAUGCACAUGUCUACAUGACACUUUUUAUGUACUUAACAAUGGCAGUAUUGGUUACAUGACAACGAAAAUAGAUCUAAUCCGGUACACCGAUACAAACAGUGAACUCGUGUAUAUUUUUAUGCCUCCGGAUCGAAAUUAUAAUUUUAAUUGGGAAAAAAUGGUCGGAAGUAAACAAAAAGUGCUAUUCAUGUUGUAUAAAUACCAAUAAUUUUAAAAAAGUAUUCACUUUUAGACGGUAUGUCAGUGUUAAUUAGUCUACUCAAAUUGUUUGACUGUAUUGAAUAACUAUGCAUGUACCUUUAUUCUGUGCAAUAGAUUCUGUGCAAAAAGUGUAUGGGUAAUGAGAAUGCCAGAACUGUAGUAGUUGAAAAUGUGAAAAACUACAAUAUUUAACAAAAAUUGUCAAUACCUCGAAGAAAACUUGAAAUGUGCUUUGCACAGUUGUAAUCACCAGCUUAUGUGUGUUUUAGAAACCUGUGACUGUUGAUUGAUUGCCAGUCAUGAAUGUAGCGCUUGCGUUGCAAUUAUAGUCCUAUUGCGUCUAUGCAUUACCGGUACUUGAGUAAAAAUCAUGUAUAUAUAUGGUGUAGUACAUGUACUUUUUGCCAUCAUUUAGUUACAUAUAGCGGGGAGAGUUUUUAUUUUAUUUUUGCACAUUUACUCGACUGUAGCGCUUUAAUUAGAAUAUAUUAUCUAGAAAUAUUGAACUGAUUCUGUUCUGGUCUUAGGUAAUGAACGUAUGAAACACCUUUUUAUGUCCCCCACCACUAUAGUGGGGGACGUAUUGUUUUUGCCCUGUCUGUUGGUCUGUAAGUUGGUCUGUUGGUUUGGUCAAACUUGAACAUUUGCCAUAACUUUUGCAAUAUUGAAGAUAGCAACUUCAUAUUUGGCAUGCAUGUGUAUCUCAUGGAGCUGCACAUUUUGAGUAGUGAAAGGUCAAGGUCAUCGUUCAAGGUCAAAGGUCAAAUAUAUGGGUCAAUAUCGCUCAUUUAAUGUUCACUUUUGCAGUAUUGAAGCAAGCAAUUUGAUAUUUGGCAUGCAUGUGUAUCUCAUAUAUAUGGGGACAUAGUGUUUCACAAACACAUCGCAUGUUUUAUUUUGUUUCUUACUAAUAUUUUAGCAUCAAUGAACUUUGAAUUUGUAUAUUAAUCAUAAAAUAGUUAAAUAACUUGUUAUGUUACAUGUCAAACCGAAAAGGCGUUAAACUAUAUUUAGUGACUAUGUAAUUUAAAUUGUUGUCCGGUUAAAUUGGUUCGUAUGUUACCUAAAUAUUUGAAGAUUGUAACGUAAAAUUGUAUCUGCCCAUUCUGGGUAAAAUGCACUAUGAAUGUAAACACACACAUAUUAACUGUAGAUCUGUACUUAAUUACAUGUAAUGCACUUAAUAUUCUAUAUAAUAUAUUAAUCUGAAAAUAAAUAUAUCGGAACUCAUCAUCUGAAGUAAUGAUCUGAUAUUGGUGCAUAAUCUGUUUUUAGACCAAUUAAAACAUAAUGAUUUUGCAAUAUUAUAGACACUUUCUUUUCUUAGAACCGUAAUCAAAUCAAAUCAAAUAUGUACCCAUACUUUCUUAACCUUAAUUCUAGAUGUGUGUGUUAUGCUUUCCGCUUUAGAACGGGAAUUGUUUAGUUGCAUUAUACAUUGUGGCUCUAUUCUCAUCAGUUAUAGUUGAUUGUAUCAAUAGAAAUGAACUUGAACUGUUAAAGUUGAAAUUUGUUUAUUUGUUAUUUAUUCUUUACAAUGUUUAGUUAAAUGCGUGUAUUUCACAUUAUCAAUAAACCAGCUUACAUAAAAUACAACA